UAGUAGUUGAUCAUAUCGAUUCAUAUUUUGAUAUGAAUUGAUUGACUUAAGACCUAAUUUGACUCAGUGAUUUGGGUCCAGGUCAAUAGGUUAACCUAAUCGAUUCUAAUCGACCAAUUUGGUGUCUAAGAUAAGUAUCUAGAUGGUGGUUAUUUAAUUAAUUUUAUUGUCUGACUUGAUCAAUUCAUUAGUAUCUAAGAAAAGCAACGAGA
RNAcentral lists this long non-coding RNA (212 nucleotides) under Elaeis guineensis (African oil palm). RNAcentral's name for it is "long non-coding RNA (EGUI_LNC037458)". The record is from RNAcentral. Lineage: Eukaryota; Viridiplantae; Streptophyta; Magnoliopsida; Arecales; Arecaceae.